RNAcentral lists this ribosomal RNA (2555 nucleotides) under Stenotrophomonas maltophilia. Its description in RNAcentral is "partial 23S ribosomal RNA". It matches the Rfam family "Bacterial large subunit ribosomal RNA", at positions 380 to 2925 of the family's 2925-position model. The record is from RNAcentral. Lineage: Bacteria; Pseudomonadati; Pseudomonadota; Gammaproteobacteria; Lysobacterales; Lysobacteraceae.
UGUAUCUGAAAGGGCCAUUUCAGUGAAGACGAGUAGGGCGGGGCACGUGAAACCCUGUCUGAACAUGGGGGGACCAUCCUCCAAGGCUAAAUACUACUGACCGACCGAUAGUGAACCAGUACCGUGAGGGAAAGGCGAAAAGAACCCCGGAGAGGGGAGUGAAAUAGAACCUGAAACCGUGUGCGUACAAGCAGUAGGAGCUCCGCAAGGAGUGACUGCGUACCUUUUGUAUAAUGGGUCAGCGACUUACUGUUCGUGGCAAGCUUAACCGUAUAGGGGAGGCGAAGGGAAACCGAGUCUGAUAAGGGCGCAUAGUCGCGGGCAGUAGACCCGAAACCGGGUGAUCUAGUCAUGCCCAGGGUGAAGGUGCGGUAACACGCACUGGAGGCCCGAACCCACUCCCGUUGCAAAGGUAGGGGAUGAGGUGUGAUUAGGAGUGAAAAGCUAAUCGAACCCGGAGAUAGCUGGUUCUCCUCGAAAGCUAUUUAGGUAGCGCCUCAUAUGUAUCCUCUCGGGGGUAGAGCACUGUUAUGGCUAGGGGGUCAUCGCGACUUACCAAACCAUUGCAAACUCCGAAUACCGAGACGGACUGUAUGGGAGACACACGGCGGGUGCUAACGUCCGUCGUGAAAAGGGAAACAACCCAGACCCACAGCUAAGGUCCCAAAUUCACUGCUAAGUGGAAAACCAUGUGGAAAGGCACAGACAGCCAGGAGGUUGGCUUAGAAGCAGCCACCCUUUAAAGAAAGCGUAAUAGCUCACUGGUCGAGUCGGUCUGCGGGGAAGAUUUAACGGGGCUAAGCAGUGAACCGAAGCUUGGGGUGCAUAACUUUGUUAUGCGCGGUAGAGGAGCGUUCCGUAAGCCGUUGAAGGUGGAUUGAGAAGUCUGCUGGAGGUAUCGGAAGUGCGAAUGCUGACAUGAGUAACGAUAAUGCGGGUGAAAAACCCGCACGCCGAAAGCCCAAGGUUUCCUUGCGCAACGUUAAUCGGCGCAGGGUGAGUCGGCCCCUAAGGCGAGGACGAAAGUCGUAGUCGAUGGGAAGCAGGUUAAUAUUCCUGCACCUCGCGUAAGUGCGAUGGAGGGACGGAGAAGGUUAGGUGUACCAGGCGUUGGUUGUCCUGGGGAAAGGCGGUAGGUUUGGAUCUUUGGCAAAUCCGGGAUCCUUCAAGACCGAGCACCGAGACGAGCCUUUAUGGCAAAGUCACUGAUACCACGCUUCCAGGAAAAGCUCCUAAGCUUCAGCUUACGCAGACCGUACCGUAAACCGACACAGGUGGGUAGGAUGAGAAUUCUCAGGCGCUUGAGAGAACUCGGGUGAAGGAACUAGGCAACAUGGCACCGUAACUUCGGGAGAAGGUGCACCCUUUUUGGUGGCUCGUGCGAGCUAUAGCUGAAGAGGGUCGCAGUAACCAGGCCGCUGCGACUGUUUAUCAAAAACACAGCACUCUGCAAACACGAAAGUGGACGUAUAGGGUGUGACGCCUGCCCGGUGCUGGAAGGUUAAUUGAUGGGGUCAGCCGCAAGGCGAAGCUCUUGAUCGAAGCCCCAGUAAACGGCGGCCGUAACUAUAACGGUCCUAAGGUAGCGAAAUUCCUUGUCGGGUAAGUUCCGACCUGCACGAAUGGCGUAACGACAGCGGCGCUGUCUCCACCCGAGACUCAGUGAAAUUGAAAUCGCUGUGAAGAUGCAGCGUUCCCGUGGCAAGACGGAAAGACCCCGUGAACCUUUACUAUAGCUUUACACUGAACGUUGAGUUCGUCUGUGUAGGAUAGGUGGGAGGCUAUGAAACUGUGGCGCUAGCUGCAGUGGAGCCAUCCUUGAAAUACCACCCUGUCGUGCUUGACGUUCUAACCUGGGCCCAUUAUCUGGGUCGGGGACCGUGUAUGGUGGGUAGUUUGACUGGGGCGGUCUCCUCCUAAAGAGUAACGGAGGAGCUCGAAGGUACGCUCAGCGCGGUCGGACAUCGCGCACUGUGUGCAAAGGCAUAAGCGUGCUUGACUGCAAGAUCGACGGAUCAAGCAGGUAGGAAACUAGGACUUAGUGAUCCGGUGGUUCUGUAUGGAAGGGCCAUCGCUCAACGGAUAAAAGGUACUCCGGGGAUAACAGGCUGAUACCGCCCAAGAGUUCAUAUCGACGGCGGUGUUUGGCACCUCGAUGUCGGCUCAUCACAUCCUGGGGCUGUAGUCGGUCCCAAGGGUAUGGCUGUUCGCCAUUUAAAGUGGUACGCGAGCUGGGUUCAGAACGUCGUGAGACAGUUCGGUCCCUAUCUGCCAUGGGCGUUGGAGAUUUGAGAGGGGCUGCUCCUAGUACGAGAGGACCGGAGUGGACGAACCUCUGGUGUUCCGGUUGUCACGCCAGUGGCAUUGCCGGGUAGCUAUGUUCGGAAGCGAUAACCGCUGAAAGCAUCUAAGCGGGAAGCGCGCCUCAAGAUGAGAUCUCCCGGGGCACAAGCCCCCUGAAGGAACCAUGUAGACUACGUGGUUGAUAGGUCAGGUGUGUAAGUACAGCAAUGUAUUGAGCUAACUGAUACUAAUGAUCCGAGAGGCUUGACCAU